RNAcentral lists this ribosomal RNA (502 nucleotides) under uncultured bacterium. RNAcentral's name for it is "bacterial SSU rRNA". It matches the Rfam family "Bacterial small subunit ribosomal RNA", at positions 29 to 526 of the family's 1533-position model. The record is from RNAcentral.
AACAAACGCUGGCGGCGUGCCUAAUACAUGCAAGUCGAACGCAGUAGCAAUACUGAGUGGCGCACGGGUGAGGAACACGUGGAUAAUCUACCUUUGAGUGGGGAACAACCUUUCGAAAGAAGGGCUAAUACCGCAUAAGACCACAGACACUUCGGUGACAGGGGUCAAAGGGGGCGUAAGCUCUCGCUUGAAGAUGAGUCCGCGCUCGAUUAGCUAGUUGGUAGGGUAAGAGCCUACCAAGGCGACGAUCGAUAGCUGGUCUGAGAGGACGACCAGCCACACUGGAACUGAGACACGGUCCAGACUCCUACGGGAGGCAGCAGUAGGGAAUAUUGCACAAUGGAGGAAACUCUGAUGCAGCGACGCCGCGUGAGUGAUGAAGGCCUUCGGGUCGUAAAGCUCUGUUGUACGGGAAGAAGGUCAUUUACCUAAUACGUAAGAGGCUUGACGGUACCGUAUAAGAAAGGACCGGCUAACUUCGUGCCAGCAGCCGCCGUAAGAC